RNAcentral lists this ribosomal RNA (423 nucleotides) under uncultured bacterium. RNAcentral describes it as "bacterial SSU rRNA". It matches the Rfam family "Bacterial small subunit ribosomal RNA", at positions 354 to 774 of the family's 1533-position model. The record is from RNAcentral.
GUGAGGAAUAUUGGUCAAUGGGGGCAACCCUGAACCAGCCAAGUCGCGUGAAGGAUGAAGGUCUUAUGGAUUGUAAACUUCUUUUACACGGGAAUAAAGUGGGGGACGUGUCCCCCUUUGCAUGUACCGUGUGAAUAAGGAUCGGCUAACUCCGUGCCAGCAGCCGCGGUAAUACGGAGGAUCCGAGCGUUAUUCGGAUUUAUUGGGUUUAAAGGGUGAGCAGGCGGGAUGUUAAGUCGGCGGUGAAAUUUUGCAGCUCAACUGUAAAAGUGCCUUCGAUACUGGCCUCCUUGAGUGUGGAUGAAGUAGGCGGAAUUUGUGGUGUAGCGGUGAAAUGCUUAGAUAUCACGAGGAACUCCGAUUGCGCAGGCAGCUUACUAAGCCACAACUGACGCUCAUGCACGAAGGCGUGGGGAUCAAACA